This 253-nucleotide ribosomal RNA is filed under the name uncultured bacterium. RNAcentral describes it as "partial 16S ribosomal RNA". It matches the Rfam family "Bacterial small subunit ribosomal RNA", at positions 524 to 776 of the family's 1533-position model. The record is from RNAcentral.
UACGUAGGGGGCAAGCGUUGUCCGGAAUCACUGGGCGUAAAGCGCGCGCAGGCGGUCAUCUACGUCUGGGGUGAAAGCCCGGAGCUCAACUCCGGGAUUGCCUUGGAUACGGGAUGACUUGAGGAUCGGAGAGGCAAGGGGAAUUCCACGUGUAGCGGUGAAAUGCGUAGAGAUGUAGAGGAACACCUGUGGCGAAGGCGCCUUGCUGGCCGAUUUCUGACGCUGAGGCGCGAAAGCGUGGGGAGCAAACAGG